This 459-nucleotide ribosomal RNA is filed under the name uncultured bacterium. RNAcentral's name for it is "partial 16S ribosomal RNA". It matches the Rfam family "Bacterial small subunit ribosomal RNA", at positions 339 to 795 of the family's 1533-position model. The record is from RNAcentral.
CUACGGGUUGCUGCAGUGAGGAAUAUUGGUCAAUGGGCGCAAGCCUGAACCAGCCAUCCCGCGUGAAGGAAGAAUGCGCUAUGCGUUGUAAACUUCUUUUCCAGGGGAAGAAAUUCCGGUACGUGUACCGGAUUGACGGUACCCUGGGAAUAAGCAUCGGCUAACUCCGUGCCAGCAGCCGCGGUAAUACGGAGGAUGCAAGCGUUAUCCGGAUUGAUUGGGUUUAAAGGGUGCGUAGGCGGAUCAAUAAGUCAGUGGUGAAAACCUGCAGCUUAACUGUAGACUUGCCAUUGAUACUGUUGGUCUUGAGUGUGGUCAAGGUAGGCGGAAUGUGUAAUGUAGCGGUGAAAUGCUUAGAUAUUACACAGAACACCGAUUGCGAAGGCAGCUUACUGGGCCGUUACUGACGCUGAGGCACGAAAGCGUGGGGAUCGAACAGGAUUAGAUACCCUUGUAGUC